CUAACAAUAGUUUACUUUGAUAUUAACUGAAUUACUUCAAAAAUUCAAAAAUAAUGAUGAGAAAUUAUAGCCAACGAAAUAUUUCUCUCGUACAUCAAUAUGUAACCGUACAAUAUUCAAAAAUGAACAAAUCCAAACCCACUUUAUGAUGCCCUACGAAUAAAAAAAAAAGAGAUACUACAUGUAUAUAUGUUACUAUGAAAAAGUAACGUCGUAUUUGUAUAGUAGAAAGGUUAGAGCUGGAUUAUAUUUAUUGUAUCUACAUAAAACUACUAGGACUACUACCCAAAUAGGAUAGAACUUUAUAGAUUUUCAAUUAUAUGUCAUUUAAUUGUCUAGUAC
Molecule: long non-coding RNA, 342 nt
Filed under: Mytilus galloprovincialis (Mediterranean mussel)
Lineage: Eukaryota; Metazoa; Mollusca; Bivalvia; Mytilida; Mytilidae
Source: RNAcentral